UCGCGAAAACUUUGCAAUACACGCAAGUGUGACAGGGCUAUCCCGAGUGCCAUCCGCUGAGGAAGGCUUUUACCCAGUCUAGUAAGCUGGGAGAAUAAGGAGAGGGCAAGUCUGGUGUCAGCCGCCGCGGUAAUACCAGCUCUUCGAGUGGUGUGGAUGUUUAUUGGGCCUAAAGCAUCCGUAGCUGGCUAGGUUAGUCCCCUGUUAAAUCCACCGAAUCAAUCGUUGGAUUGCGGGGGAUACUGCUUGGCUAGGGGACGAGAGAGGCAGACGGUAUUUUUGGGGUAGGGGUGAAAUCCUAUAAUCCCAGGAAGACCACCAGUGGCGAAGGCUGUCUGCUAGAACGCGCCCGACGGUGAGGGAUGAAAGCUGGGGGAGCGAACCGGAUUAGAUACCCGGGUAGUCCCAGCUGUAAACGAUGCAGGCUAGGUGUUUGGACGGCCACGUGCCGUUCUAGUGCCGCAGGGAAGCUGUUAAGCCUGCCGCCUGGGGAGUACGAUCGCAAGAUUGAAACUUAAGGAAGUU
This 525-nucleotide ribosomal RNA is filed under the name uncultured archaeon. RNAcentral describes it as "bacterial SSU rRNA". It matches the Rfam family "Archaeal small subunit ribosomal RNA", at positions 339 to 866 of the family's 1478-position model. The record is from RNAcentral.